ACUCCUACGGGAGGCAGCAGUGGGAAUAUUGCGCAAUGGGCGAAAGCCUGACGCAGCAACGCCGCGUGUGGGAUGACAGCUUUCGGGUUGUAAACCACUUUCAGUGACGACGAAAAUGACGGUAGUCACAGAAGAAGGUCCGGCCAACUACGUGCCAGCAGCCGCGGUAACACGUAGGGACCGAGCGUUGUCCGGAUUUAUUGGGCGUAAAGAGCUCGUAGGCGGUUCCGUAAGUCGGAUGUGAAAACUCAGGGCUCAACCCGCGAGACGCCAUCUGAUACUGCGGUGACUGGAGUCCGGUAGGGAGCAUGGAAUUCCUGGUGUAGCGGUGGAAUGCGCAGAUAUCAGGAGGAACACCAAUGGCGAAGGCAGUGCUCUGGGCCGGUACUGACGCUGAGGAGCGAAAGCAUGGGGAGCAAACAGGAUUAGAUACCCUGGUAGGCUCUGC
Molecule: ribosomal RNA, 448 nt
Filed under: uncultured bacterium
Lineage: Bacteria
Description: bacterial SSU rRNA
Rfam family: Bacterial small subunit ribosomal RNA
Source: RNAcentral